RNAcentral lists this long non-coding RNA (2579 nucleotides) under Nicotiana benthamiana. RNAcentral describes it as "long non-coding RNA (NBEN_LNC024590)". Lineage: Eukaryota; Viridiplantae; Streptophyta; Magnoliopsida; Solanales; Solanaceae. The record is from RNAcentral.
GAUCCGACUGUCCGAACACAAUCCCCUCCCUCUCUCAGACCCCCCAAUUCUCUCUAACCUAAACCCUAAUUAAUCAGUCGCCCCCAUAUUCUUUUAUCAAAGCUCGCCGCGGCGAGGACAUCAGUUACACCAACAACCACCAAAAUUACACCCUAACACCGCCUCUGUAUCCUCAUUUCAAAUCUACCCUUCUUUUCCUUCGAAUCAACCUCAAAGGUAUUGAUUCUUGAUUCGAAGUUGAUGAACCCUAGGCGCCGCCCUCGAAUCCUAGUGGCGGCGGCGCCUCUUUUUCACACCAAAUUAAUACCAGAUGAUUGUCGUCCUUCCCCCAUCAGUAAUACCUACCCAUAAAUCCUUCGAAUCCAAGUAAAAGGCCUCGAAUGUCAGAUCUAGGGUUGGGGAGUCGAAGCUAUACAAAGGUAGAAUGUUUUUCGUAGUAAGUUUCUAAUAGAUCAUGCUUCUGUUACAAUUCUAGAUUUUAUUUGUAUUUUUGAUUUGUUUCAAUGUUUGGUUCUAUUUAGUUAGUCUAAUUCGAAUCAAUUCUUCAUUUUAAUUUCAAUUUUUAGUUCUAAAUGUGGAAAUUGUCUUUUUCGAGUUGGUUUCUGUAAGUCUUUGUAGUAAUUUUGUUUCAUUUUUCAAUCUUGGUUUGGGAAUGUUAGAUUUUAGUUUAAAUGUGGUUGCAAGUUUGUUUUGAACUUUGUUGGAUUUUGUUUGGAUUGAAUUAGUAUUUGGAGAGUUUGAUUUGUGGGUAUAAUUGUUCUCUAAUUCAGUUGUUUUUAGUAAUAAGGUUUGGAUGAUUGGAUUUAGCUGAAUAUUUUAGUUUUUGAUCAACCAUAAUAAAUUUGUAGCUAAGAUAAAAGGGAAAAAGGGGUUUGGUAGGUGUAGUAAUUUAGAGCUAGUGAGGGAUAAUUUGGGCAUUGGAAGUGGCUCAAUUUGUUAAGGGUGGUAAGUUUAUAACUCAAGUAAGGGUAGUAUAGGUAUUUAAAGGGGUUAUGAACAUGAUAGAUAAAAAUAAAACCUUCUUGGACAUUCUAAAUAGGACUUCAGUAUGCAUUUGGAGAAGUUUGAGGCACUGACUUGUGUAACAAGUGUAAAAAUAAGGGACUAAACUGAAACGAAAGAGGGGCUGAAGAAAAAAUAGAAAAUCUGAAGUUCCCUCAAUCUACACCUAUAUAAAGGGCAUGCACAUGCCUUGUGACAAAAAGUUUUCAGCCAUCAAAGUUACCCCACCCCCCAUAAAAGCAUUCUUUCAUUUCCAGAUCUGAAAACUAGAAUUCAAAACCUAAAAACCAAAAAAUCAAAAACAGAAGAAAAAUCAAAACAAAUUUACUGUUCCAGUGAAAUUAGAGACUGACUUCAGUUUCUGGUUGUUGAUUCACAUUCUGUAGUUGCUAUAGUUGCUUGUUGAAGUGUAGAGGUUCAUUUCAAAUGCAAUUGAAUCAAAUUAAGUGGGAAUUCGGCUGAAUUAUUUUGGUGAUUUCGAGUUGAAGUUAGUAUUCUGAAUCUAGUUUAGGUGUUUUUUUAGAUGUCUAUGCAUUGGUGUUUAUUUCUGGGUUGAUUUGCUGUUGUGUGGAGUAGAAUUGUUAGUUUUCUGCUUGAUUUGAACACCUCUAGACUACUUGAUCUUGUUACGGGGAUAUUUGUGAUUUAUCCCUGAUUGAUGUUGACCUCCUCUUCUCCUUCAUUAAUUUCCACUUACAGGUACCUCCCUUGAUCUCAUGUAUGCUGUGACAGAUCCUUGUAACUCAAUUUGAAGGAUAAAUAAAGUGAAGAGUGGCUUGAAGUGGGUUGUCAAAUUCAUUUUAAUACGUUUUAGUUUUAAUGUGUUAGAAAAAUCAUGUUUAAUUGAUAAUUAGUGUUUUGUAAUAAGUGGACUGUGUGACUAUUAUUUCCAAUUCAUGUUAUGAACUGAACUAGUUUCAGUAGUUCAAUAAUUGUGCCAAGUUGAAUAGAAAUGUGUUAGUAAGUUAGGUGAGUUCUCAAAAUGUUAAUGGUCAGUGUUAGUUUUAAUGACAGCUUUUAAUCCUUGAUUUGUUUUCAAUAAUUGUAAAUAAACAAACUCAAACAGUUCUAUGUUUCGUAUAAUAUUACAUAUUCCCACUUGUUUAAAAUACUGCACUAUGUGAGUACCUGUUUAGUAACAUUAGUUGAAUAGUGAACUGUUUGAUUUGAUUAUGUGAAUAGUUAACUCGUAGGUAGUAGGCAAAAUCAUAUGACUUCAAUUUGUGCUCCUAGUCUAUUUUCGCCAUUAAUAAUUUGAUUAGUGCUUGUUUUCUUAUGAACUGUUUAAAUGCAUUAAAGUAAUUUGAAAUAAGUGCAGCCAAUUUGUUUUACUUGUUGUUGGGCUCCAAGCGACAGGUCUGCCGAGCAUGGUUUUCUGAGACGUUUGGCUUUAGUUGGAAAAACUCCUAGUCUAUCCAGCCAAGGGAAUCGACCCCAAGACUUCUUCCAUGCGGUCUGCAAUUUAGUUGUCAUGGGUCACACAGUUUGGGCUGUUUGGGGCCUGAAACUCAAAUGGGAAUUGGGCUUUUCACAAGCCUGGUUUAUUGGGCCAGCAGUCACGAAAUAAAUUCAUAAGA